AGGCAGCAGUAGGGAAUCUUCCGCAAUGGGCGAAAGCCUGACGGAGCAACGCCGCGUGAGUGAUGAAGGUCUUCGGAUCGUAAAACUCUGUUAUUAGGGAAGAACAUAUGUGUAAGUAACUGUGCACAUCUUGACGGUACCUAAUCAGAAAGCCACGGCUAACUACGUGCCAGCAGCCGCGGUAAUACGUAGGUGGCAAGCGUUAUCCGGAAUUAUUGGGCGUAAAGCGCGCGUAGGCGGUUUUUUAAGUCUGAUGUGAAAGCCCACGGCUCAACCGUGGAGGGUCAUUGGAAACUGGAAAACUUGAGUGCAGAAGAGGAAAGUGGAAUUCCAUGUGUAGCGGUGAAAUGCGCAGAGAUAUGGAGGAACACCAGUGGCGAAGGCGACUUUCUGGUCUGUAACUGACGCUGAUGUGCGAAAGCGUGGGGAUCAAACAGGAUUAGAUACCCUGGUAGUCCACGCCGUAAACGAUGAGUGCUAAGUGUUAGGGGGUUUCCGCCCCUUAGUGCUGCAGCUAACGCAUUAAGCACUCCGCCUGGGGAGUACGACCGCAAGGUUGAAACUCAAAGGAAUUGACGGG
Molecule: ribosomal RNA, 580 nt
Filed under: uncultured bacterium
Lineage: Bacteria
Description: bacterial SSU rRNA
Rfam family: Bacterial small subunit ribosomal RNA
Source: RNAcentral